RNAcentral lists this long non-coding RNA (246 nucleotides) under Homo sapiens (human). RNAcentral describes it as "HSALNT0358213". Lineage: Eukaryota; Metazoa; Chordata; Mammalia; Primates; Hominidae. The record is from RNAcentral.
CUGUAAUCCCAGCACUUUGGGAGGCUGAGGCGGGUGAAUCACGAGGUCAGGAGUUCAAAACCAGCCUUGCCAAGAUGAUGAAACUCCAUCUCUACUAAAAAUACAAAAAAAUUAGCCGGGCGUGGUGGCGGGCGCCUGUGGUCCCAGCUACUCGGGAGGCUGAGGCAGGAGAAUGGCUGAACCCGGGAGGCGGAGCUUGCAGUGAGCCGAGAUCACGCCACUGCACUCCAGCCUGGGCGACAGAGC